Molecule: ribosomal RNA, 498 nt
Filed under: uncultured bacterium
Lineage: Bacteria
Description: partial 16S ribosomal RNA
Rfam family: Bacterial small subunit ribosomal RNA
Source: RNAcentral
AACGAACGCUGGCGGCAUGCCUUACACAUGCAAGUCGAACGGUAACGCGGGGCAACCUGGCGACGAGUGGCGAACGGGUGAGUAAUAAAUCGGAACGUGCCCAGAAGUGGGGGAUAGCCCGGCGAAAGCCGGAUUAAUACCGCAUACGACCUACGGGAGAAAGAGGGGGAUCGCAAGACCUCGCGCUAUGGGAGCGGCCGAUGUCAGAUUAGGUAGUUGGUGGGGUAAAGGCCUACCAGGCCGACGAUCUGGAGCUGGUCUGAGAGGACGACCAGCCACACUGGGACUGAGACACGGCCCAGACUCCUACGGGAGGCAGCAGUGGGGAAUUUUGGACAAUGGGCGCAAGCCUGAUCCAGCCAUGCCGCGUGCGGGAAGAAGGCCUUCGGGUUGUAAACCGCUUUUGUCAGGGAAGAAACGCGCUGGGUUAAUACCUCGGCGUAAUGACGGUACCUGAAGAAUAAGCACCGGCUAACUACGUGCCAGCAGCCGCCGUAA